This 451-nucleotide ribosomal RNA is filed under the name uncultured organism. Its description in RNAcentral is "partial 16S ribosomal RNA". It matches the Rfam family "Bacterial small subunit ribosomal RNA", at positions 331 to 798 of the family's 1533-position model. The record is from RNAcentral.
GUACACUCCUACGGGAGGCAGCAGUGGGGAAUAUUGGACAAUGGGCGCAAGCCUGAUCCAGCCAUGCCGCGUGAGUGAUGAAGGCCCUAGGGUUGUAAAGCUCUUUCACCGGUGAAGAUAAUGACGGUAACCGGAGAAGAAGCCCCGGCUAACUUCGUGCCAGCAGCCGCGGUAAUACGAAGGGGGCUAGCGUUGUUCGGAUUUACUGGGCGUAAAGCGCACGUAGGCGGACUAUUAAGUCAGGGGUGAAAUCCCGGGGCUCAACCCCGGAACUGCCUUUGAUACUGGUAGUCUUGAGUUCGAGAGAGGUGAGUGGAAUUCCGAGUGUAGAGGUGAAAUUCGUAGAUAUUCGGAGGAACACCAGUGGCGAAGGCGGCUCACUGGCUCGAUACUGACGCUGAGGUGCGAAAGCGUGGGGAGCAAACAGGAUUAGAAACCCCAGUAGUCCCAU